GAGUGCGCGUGCCGUAGCAAUACGGUAUGGCGCACGGCGCACGGGUGCGUAACACGUGGGCAAUCUGCCCUCCGAUGGGGAAUAACCCCGCGAAAGCAGGGCUAAUUCCGCAUAACAUUCCCUGGACUCCGGUUCGGGGAUUCAAAGCAGCAAUGCGUCGGAGGAGGAGCCCGCGCCCGAUUAGCUAGUUGGUGAGGUAACGGCUCACCAAGGCAAUGAUCGGUAGCUGGUCUGAGAGGAUGGCCAGCCACACUGGAACUGAGACACGGUCCAGACUCCUACGGGAGGCAGCAGUGGGGAAUCUUGCGCAAUGGGCGAAAGCCUGACGCAGCGACGCCGCGUGGGGGAUGAAGCUUUUCGGAGUGUAAACCCCUUUCGACCGGGACGAAUGCCCGCAAGGGAGUGACGGUACCGGUAGAAGAAGCCCCGGCUAACUACGUG
This 441-nucleotide ribosomal RNA is filed under the name uncultured bacterium. RNAcentral describes it as "bacterial SSU rRNA". It matches the Rfam family "Bacterial small subunit ribosomal RNA", at positions 64 to 507 of the family's 1533-position model. The record is from RNAcentral.